Molecule: ribosomal RNA, 503 nt
Filed under: uncultured bacterium
Lineage: Bacteria
Description: partial 16S ribosomal RNA
Rfam family: Bacterial small subunit ribosomal RNA
Source: RNAcentral
ACUCAAAUGAAUUGACGGGGGCCCGCACAAGCGGUGGAGCAUGUGGUUCAAUUCGAUGCAGAGCGAAGAACCUUACCUGGGCUUGACAUGAGGGAAGUAGGAGGUGGAAACACCGACGACCUGUUAAGUCAGGAGCCCUCACAGGUGGUGCAUGGCUGUCGUCAGCUCGUGCCGUGAGGUGUUGGGUUAAGUCCCGCAACGAGCGCAACCCUCACCCGAUGUUGCCAACAGUACGGCUGGGGACUCUUCGGGAACUGCCGGCGAAGAGCUGGAGGAAGGGGGGGAUGACGUCAAGUCCGUAUGCCCCUUAUGCCCAGGGCUACACACAUGCUACAAUGGGCGGUACAGAGGGUGCCCAACUCGCGAGGGGGAGGCAAUCCCAGAAAGCCGUUCACAGUUCGGAUUGGAGGCUGCAACUCGCCUCCAUGAAGUCGGAAUCGCUAGUAAGCGCAGAUCAGCAGGCUGCGCUGAAUACGUUCCCGGGCCUUGUACACACCGCCCGU